CCUGUCAGCAGUAAAGGAUGCAGUUAGAGACAGGAUCGUGACUCCUCUCCAGCUGCAUGGCCGAUCUGCCCACACCUUCUGGCGUCAUAAAGUUGUCAUUCCCUCUCUUAUGGCUGUUGGAGAGAACACAGGGCCUCCUCCUGCCUACUGAGCACAGUUCCUUCUAACCAUGGAGUGGUAUCCCAGACCCAGUUAGAAGGGCAAACACGGCUGGCUUUUCACAUGGAUUCUGGAGGCCUGUGCAGGAAGUGCUGCUCAUACCUGCUGGACCAACCUCCCAGCCUCAGCCUGGGGGUGGGGUAUGUAAAAAGAAAAAUAUUUUAAAGAUCUUAUGAUUUUUAAAAUUAACCAACAAGAAUAUUUUUGUUUUCUUGUGAUGUUGGGCCUUAUGUAUCCUAUCCCUCUGAUUGGGUCCCCAAGUCAAAGGCUCUAAAUCUAGUAAUUAAACACAAACAGUAAUUGAGGGCGUGGGGUGUUUUUUUCAAGACAGGGUUUCUCUGUGUAUCCUAGAACUCACUCUGUAGACCAAGCUAGCCUUGAACUCAGAGAUUUGCCUGCCUCUGCCUCUAGGGUGCUGGGACUAAAGCUAUGUGUACCACCUAAUACUUGUUUGUUUGUUUGUUUGUUUGUAUGUAUGUAUAUAAAUGUGCCUGAGUAUGUAUGAGACCAAAGGACCAUGUCCGACCCCUUGGAACAGAAGUUACAGGUAAUUGUGAGCCACCUGGAUGUGUAGGAAGCAGAUCUGGGGCCUCUCAAAAGCAGCAGGUGCUCAUGACUGCUAAGCCAUCUGUCCAACACAAUGCUGUAUUCUAAGUUUAUAUUUAAAAUAUAACUUAAAGGCCGCUUCUAAUUGGAUGAGUACUGGUUAUGAGCUCAGAGACUGCAAAGGUGGCGAGGGAGAGUGUGGACAGGUGUACCGGCAUAGCACUCCUGGGCAUUCUAGGGCCUGCCAGGGCACAGUACCAUUACAAGACUCCCACCCGCUUCCUACUCUGUCUGCAGACGCAAUGACAUGUGAUCAGCUCUUUUCACAGGGAACCUGUAGGGCUACAUACCUGUCACAAACACUGAAGUACCCUGUGGGGAAGCGGUGCUGCCAGCAGUACUGGUCGUCCUCAGUGUGGAAAACCUUCUCCUUGUGCUUCUCGGAGGAGAUGUGGUCUUGCCACUGCUUCUCACUGUUACAGUUCUUCCCACACAUCCAGCAGUGGAAGUCCACCUAAAGGGUGCAGGGAGACGUGCUGCCUGAGAGCCUGUGCCUCCCACUGCUGCCUGAGCUUAAUGCAGGCUCCAAUCUGGGGAAGCCAGCGAGGGACAUAUAACCCAAAAUCAGACCAAUGCACAAGAAAUGUCAUUUGAAAGGCAGUUAGGUGUUCUGAGCUGGGUUAACACCCUGAGGGAAAGCAGGAGCUGCACAAGGUCAGAGCAGGCCAGCCCUAGAAUAAGCAACAGCAAUUCUACACGAGCGAAUCCCAACAACACAAGAUAGGUAUUAGGCACCCAGAAAGUAAAGAUGCUGGCCCUGCAAGGACAGAGGUGCACAUCACGGAAAGGUUGAAGUGCUAUAAGACACCCACACUCAGGUUGUCCUGAGCACACACACAGGACCGGGACAGACAACAGCCCUGCAGUGUGAGGGCAUGGGUAAGAUGCAGGGUUGAAAGCAGGAAACAAGUGGCAGGAGCACGCGCUGCUGCCAGGUGCUGACUACAAAUGAACAAGAGCCACAGAGUGAUGGCCAGGCACAGCGGUUCAUGUCUAUAAUCCCAGUGCUCUGGAGGCUAAGUAAAGAUGACUGCUCAAAUUCACGAUCAGCCUGGGCUACAGAGGGGCGGGGGCACGUCACUGCUUGAUAUAUAAACAUAGCAUGGAGAAAUGCACCCUGGUUCCUCUGGGCACAACACACACACACUUCCCACCUUAUCUCCAGGACCUAAUCUACAGACAGAGCACUAACGUCAGUCACUAGGAGAGACCGGCUCAAGCCAUUCAUGUUGCCUUUACUUUUUACAAAGGUCUCGCUGUGGAGCCCUAGCAGACCUGAAACUUGCUCUAAGAGGCUGGCUUUGAACUUAAGAAAUCACCUGCCUCCACUCUCCAAGUGAUGAGCUGAAAGGUGUGCAUCUCCUCAGGUGUCAUGAUUGGCUUUUGAGACGUGUUCUCAUGUAGCCCAGGAUGGCCUCCAAUUUGCCAGGCAUCCAAAGAUGACCUUGGAUUUCUGACGCUUCAUCUGGAACUCUCAAGAGUGCUGGGAUUAAAAGCAUAUACCGCCACAUCCAGUUUACGCAGUGCCAAGAUGAAACAGAGUGUUAUGCAUGCUAAGCAAGGACGCUACCAACUGGGCUACGUCCCAACCAAGCUUCUUUAUGGUUUUGAAAUUAAGACAUUAAGCAAGACAAUUUCAACACAAGGAGACUUAAGCUAAUGGCAAAAAAGCACAGAAGGAAAAAGACAGUGGAGGGAGACAGGCUGCAGGGGACAGGGUCAGGCUUUGGAGAAGGGAGGAAGGCAAGGCUGCAUGGGCAGCCCUGCAGCAGGCCUGCGUGAGCAGCGGUACUCACAGUGACUUCCGCAUAGUCUGUUGGCAUGUGGAUCUGCUUCCCGUUUUCUUUGCUACAGUGACUGGAUGUCUCAUCACUUUUUUCAGUUUUCUGGUUCUUCAGCCAGAGUUCAUAAAACUGCUCUAUAUCAUGUACUGAAAAAAAAAUAAAAGACCUGUGUUCAGCGACAACCACACAAUGCCAUUCAAAUACACACAAGCACGUGGACUGCCUCUGCUGCUACACCUUCAAAACAAACUUGGUGCACAUCUUUACUCCCAGUACUCAGGAGGCAGAGGCAGGUGGAUCUCUGAAUUUGAGGCCAGCCUGGUCUACAGGUUGAGUUCCAGGACAGCAAGAGCUACAUAGAGAAACCCUGUCUCAAAAAACAAAGCAAACAAACAAAAAAUCUGUAGUAAAACUAUUUAGAUUCAAAAGUGAAAUGCUGUCUGAAACACCUCUCAAACGCCCACCUAUCUGAUGGCCACAACUGAUCUUGUCUAGAGUCAUAGAGGAACUGAGCUGUCCCGGACAACUUUUAAGGAGGUUACAUGCCUAUUACAUGCAGGGUGUAGAAGUGCAGAUUCACACAAAUGUGGCCUAACAGAAUGCAUAUCACAAGUUUGCACACCACAGAGGCUAUGGUAGUGCUCCCAGCAAGCAGCAGCAGCACCAGAGCUGCAGCCCAAACCUGUGAACUGCGUGUGUGCUCACAGGUAUCAAGGACAGACAGAUGAACUUACUUUUGUUAUCCUUCAUGUAAGUCCACACUUCCCGUUCCUCAGGACUAUGAGCAAAGGAACAGUUGCCAACAUACUGACACUUUUUUCUAUUAGCAAUAUGGUUGCAUAGCUGUGUUGAGAAAAAAAUACAAAUAUAAUAUAUAUAAUACAUAACAGACAAAAUCACACACACACGCGAACACACACACGCACAUGCACACAUGCACACACACACACGCGAACACACGCACGCACAUGCACACAUGCACACACACACACACAGGCACGGCACAUGCGGGCACACACAUAUACACUAAAGACACUACAUAUACAUUGCUUAGUAUAACUGAUUUUACAUUAGAGCAAAAUAAGUCUUGCGAUCAGUGCUAAUGCUGAGUAGCACAAAUUUUCAGAUGAAUUCUAUUUAAAUGCACCAGCAGCCCAAAACACAUAGUGAUAGCAAACAUUUCUGUUUCAGAAAGUUUUCCAAAGAAAGUGAAGCACAGAUUUAAGGAGUACAAAUUUCCUACAAAACCACAUACUAGGGAUCUCAUCUCUGCAGUGAACAUGAUACCCUCUCUGUCAAGUGGCUACUGUUCUCUUCCCAUAAUAUUCACGAUGCCUCCAAAUCAGAACUCGGGACAGAAAGAGAACUUAGCUUGCUCCACAGGUUACUAGAUAGUGCCAGGAAGCUUCCAGACUCGAAGUGCUAAUGACCUCACACAGCUAACCUUAACCACAAGUCUAGAUACAGUAUAUCUGAAGACACCUGAUGCUCUAACCAGUGAUAAAGAGGCUUUCCAACAGCACUCCUCCGGUUAAGUGGAAUUUUAAUUAACAAGGGGAACAAGGUGGCAGGAGUAGGAGAAUGAAGUGACAGUGAUCAUCAGACAAGUUUUCUGGAAGAAUCACUAGUCCCCAAGAAACAGAAGAUCCUCCAUCACCAAGAAAGGUCUCAGCAGGUGGCUGGCUGUGCUGCUGCGAAAGCCCUUAACUGCUAACUGGGUUGAUGUGCUCUUCACCAGGAACUGGCCUUUCCCACUACUUACCUUACACAACAGUGAAUGCCCAGCAUCUGCUUUUGAAAACUCUCAACAUUACAUUUUCUCCUGGGAUGAAAUCAGUAACCUCGCAUGAAAACCUACAGGCGGCCAGCAGUCUAUGUACUGAGUCAGCUUCAUCACAGACUUGGAUACAUUCUUUUUGUUCGUUUUCUUUUGAGACUUUGAGAAAGGGUCUGCUCAUGUAGCCCUGGCUAGCCUUAAGCCAUAAGCCAGGAUGGCCUUAAACUUGUAGUGACUCUUCUAAGUGCUGGAGUCACAGGGUGAGCUGCCACCCCUGCCUUACCCAGUCACUCAAAAAUAAAGAACAGGGAGUAUGAAGCACAAGGCCAGGCACUGGGCUUUAGAGACUCCCAUAACAGACUACUGUCCUUGUGCAUAAUGAUCCCAUUUACCAGAUAGGCAAAUAAAGCCACAGAAUAUUACAGGCUCCUUCUGAAGGAGGGUGUUCCUACCUCCCCACAAUCUCUAUAACACACACACACACACACACACACACACACACAUACACACACACACACACACACACUUUAAAAAAAGGGUUCCUACGGGAUUGGGGAUUUAGCUCAGUGGUAGAGCGCUUGCCUAGGAAGCGCAAGGUCCUGGGUUCAGUCCCCAGCUCCGAAAAAAAAAAAAAGAACAACAAAAAAAAAAAAAAAAAAAAAAAAAAAAGGGUCCCUACAA
Rattus norvegicus (Norway rat) is the source of this 5007-nucleotide long non-coding RNA. RefSeq lists it as uncharacterized. The record is from RefSeq and is a predicted model, not a curated record. Lineage: Eukaryota; Metazoa; Chordata; Mammalia; Rodentia; Muridae.